Molecule: non-coding RNA, 456 nt
Organism: Paramisgurnus dabryanus
Lineage: Eukaryota; Metazoa; Chordata; Actinopteri; Cypriniformes; Cobitidae
Source: RefSeq, a predicted model, not a curated record
GAAGGAAUGUCAGAGGCGAUGGACGCAGAAGGUACAGAGCUGGAAGAAAAGUCCUCAGAAACAGCCACUACUGUAGCUAUCGUGAUGACUGCAGAUUAAGAUGGAGGCCAUUUGUGCUGUGUCUGCCGCGUCCUUUCGAUGACAGGAAGAAGAAUGCUUCAGAGAAGUGGCGUUCAUGGUCACAGUGCACAGUGUGCCAAUCAUGGUCACACACUGCAUGUCAAGACACCAUGCAAACAGCCUGUAGCGCUGCAUCAGUGAUAGGAAACAUGCUAGUUACACAAGAUGUUUUAUGUUUUAACUUUGAGUUGUUUUUACUUUGUUCAUGACCCCAUCCCUACAAACACACACACACACAUUUUUUUUAUUUUUAUGUAUUAGGUGCCAUUUAAUCUUUUUCAUGCAAAUGUAUUGUAAUGAUUACACUUAUAAGAAUAAAACAGAUUUUUAAUUCAA